Thalassophryne amazonica is the source of this 638-nucleotide long non-coding RNA. RefSeq lists it as uncharacterized. Lineage: Eukaryota; Metazoa; Chordata; Actinopteri; Batrachoidiformes; Batrachoididae. The record is from RefSeq and is a predicted model, not a curated record. The transcript has 2 exons.
AAAACAUGGAAAAAUUGAAUAUGGUGAAUACUUUCUGGAUGCACUGUGUGUUUCUCAGUCGAUCCCAUAAGAACAAAUGCACAUGUAUGCCAGUAGGACCUCCUUCCUUAAGGUCAGCUGUAUGUGAUGUUGAACACUCAUUGAAUACAUGACAUCAUGCAAGCUAUUUAAUUUACAGUCUGUGAUGUAUUUUCAAUAGAAACAUAAGUGACAAAGUAUUCAAAUGUCACAAACGUUAUUGGACAAGGAAACUAUAAGGAUUGUUAAUUCAAAUAAUCACUUUUGGAGCCAGUUUUCUUUGGACAACUUGGGAUGUAUACAUCAGACGCAUACAGUAUGUAUCACGACACUCUGGUCCCGAUUUGAUAUGUAUUGUGAUUCUUAAGAAGUACAGUUCCACAGGUAUUGCAGUUCACUGUCACAAUGUAUUGUGCUGUUUUGCUUUCAGCAGGAAGGAUUUUCUUAAAAAGAUGUGAAAUUUUUACUUUUUCCAAAGGAAUGUGGGAUGCUUAAGACUAGACUCGAUUUCUUUCAUGAAAGUCCUUAUGUCUUGGUGGCUUAGGUUUUUCAGAACUGCCCACUCCAGACAGGUUGAACCUGGAAUAGCAUGUUGGUUGUUUUUGUUAAUGAUUGACAUA